CCUGCCCCUCCCCCAGCCACCCCGGAAGCUCCUUCCACAUUUGAAGUCUCUGGCCGCCCCAUUUCACUGCUCCCCUUCCCCGGAAAACACCAGAGAGGAGGAAGAGAUCCCGGCGUUUCUCCGUCCCCCCAACAGUGAGGCUGUGUUGGGGGGUUCCCCCGACCAUCCUCCCGCCCCCCGCCGUGACUCUCUGUAUUUCUGUCCCCAGCUCUUGUCACCGCCUGAGACCUCGUGAGACCCUCGGGUCCCCCCUGCCCCUUCCCCCCAGGUUAGCAAUUGGGAAUGGCUGGGAGGGGGUGUCCCCACGAUACUGGGCUUCAAACCCCCAGGCCCUCUCCUACAGUCAGGACUCCCGCCUUCAGACAGCGCCCCUGGCUCUGUAGAAAAGCCAUGGAACUCCCCCCAGACGCUGGCAGAACCGAAGACGGACCAAGCUUUCAGAAACCACACACACUGCUCCUGGAUCUUGAGUCCCGUGAGCUGUCCCUUAGCGCCUCCCCUCACCCGCAGAAGCCCAUUUUUUUCAGACUUUGGGAUGCUUCAAAUCCUUUCACCACUGACACUGCCUGGACCUUCCUGGACCCUGGAACGAUGCCCCAGGGAUGAGCCUUGCCCCCGCCCACUGCUCUUGGAGUUCUCUCACUCCCCCAGGGCACUGCCAGCUUUGGUUCCUCAGCCCCCCACAGCCCUGCCCGCCUUGUCCCCAUUCCCUACACUAGAUGGCCCCCAAUCCCACUCUGCUGUCCUGCCCAGCCCGUUUCCCUCCAAGCCCUCUCCACUGGCUGCUCCCCACAUGCAUUCCACCGGCCCCUCCCCACGCCCCUGCUGCCCACCAUCCCGCCUUGCUGUCCCCCACCUUUUGGCCUGAGAUGAG
RNAcentral lists this long non-coding RNA (874 nucleotides) under Marmota monax (woodchuck). The record is from RNAcentral. Lineage: Eukaryota; Metazoa; Chordata; Mammalia; Rodentia; Sciuridae.